This 434-nucleotide ribosomal RNA is filed under the name uncultured Blautia sp. RNAcentral's name for it is "partial 16S ribosomal RNA". It matches the Rfam family "Bacterial small subunit ribosomal RNA", at positions 341 to 792 of the family's 1533-position model. Lineage: Bacteria; Bacillati; Bacillota; Clostridia; Lachnospirales; Lachnospiraceae. The record is from RNAcentral.
ACGGAAGGCAGCAGUGGGGAAUAUUGCACAAUGGGGGAAACCCUGAUGCAGCGACGCCGCGUGAAGGAAGAAGUAUCUCGGUAUGUAAACUUCUAUCAGCAGGGAAGAAAAUGACGGUACCUGACUAAGAAGCCCCGGCUAACUACGUGCCAGCAGCCGCGGUAAUACGGAGGAUCCGAGCGUUAUCCGGAUUUAUUGGGUUUAAAGGGUGCGCAGGCGGGCUGCUAAGUCUCCGGUGAAAUGUCAGGGCUCAACCUUGGCACUGCCGGAGAUACUGGCGGCCUUGAGAGUGGCGGAGGUAUCCGGAAUGUGUGGUGUAGCGGUGAAAUGCAUAGAUAUCACACAGAACACCGAUUGCGAAGGCAGGAUACCAUACCAUAUCUGACGCUCAGGCACGAAAGCGUGGGGAUCGAACAGGAUUAGAUACCCUGGUA